RNAcentral lists this ribosomal RNA (2924 nucleotides) under Escherichia coli. Its description in RNAcentral is "bacterial LSU rRNA". It matches the Rfam family "Bacterial large subunit ribosomal RNA". The record is from RNAcentral. Lineage: Bacteria; Pseudomonadati; Pseudomonadota; Gammaproteobacteria; Enterobacterales; Enterobacteriaceae.
GGGUUGUGAGGUUAAGCGACUAAGCGUACACGGUGGAUGCCCUGGCAGUCAGAGGCGAUGAAGGACGUGCUAAUCUGCGAUAAGCGUCGGUAAGGUGAUAUGAACCGUUAUAACCGGCGAUUUCCGAAUGGGGAAACCCAGUGUGUUUCGACACACUAUCAUUAACUGAAUCCAUAGGUUAAUGAGGCGAACCGGGGGAACUGAAACAUCUAAGUACCCCGAGGAAAAGAAAUCAACCGAGAUUCCCCCAGUAGCGGCGAGCGAACGGGGAGGAGCCCAGAGCCUGAAUCAGUGUGUGUGUUAGUGGAAGCGUCUGGAAAGGCGCGCGAUACAGGGUGACAGCCCCGUACACAAAAAUGCACAUACUGUGAGCUCGAUGAGUAGGGCGGGACACGUGGUAUCCUGUCUGAAUAUGGGGGGACCAUCCUCCAAGGCUAAAUACUCCUGACUGACCGAUAGUGAACCAGUACCGUGAGGGAAAGGCGAAAAGAACCCCGGCGAGGGGAGUGAAAAAGAACCUGAAACCGUGUACGUACAAGCAGUGGGAGCACGCUUCGGCGUGUGACUGCGUACCUUUUGUAUAAUGGGUCAGCGACUUAUAUUCUGUAGCAAGGUUAACCGAAUAGGGGAGCCGAAGGGAAACCGAGUCUUAACUGGGCGUUAAGUUGCAGGGUAUAGACCCGAAACCCGGUGAUCUAGCCAUGGGCAGGUUGAAGGUUGGGUAACACUAACUGGAGGACCGAACCGACUAAUGUUGAAAAAUUAGCGGAUGACUUGUGGCUGGGGGUGAAAGGCCAAUCAAACCGGGAGAUAGCUGGUUCUCCCCGAAAGCUAUUUAGGUAGCGCCUCGUGAAUUCAUCUCCGGGGGUAGAGCACUGUUUCGGCAAGGGGGUCAUCCCGACUUACCAACCCGAUGCAAACUGCGAAUACCGGAGAAUGUUAUCACGGGAGACACACGGCGGGUGCUAACGUCCGUCGUGAAGAGGGAAACAACCCAGACCGCCAGCUAAGGUCCCAAAGUCAUGGUUAAGUGGGAAACGAUGUGGGAAGGCCCAGACAGCCAGGAUGUUGGCUUAGAAGCAGCCAUCAUUUAAAGAAAGCGUAAUAGCUCACUGGUCGAGUCGGCCUGCGCGGAAGAUGUAACGGGGCUAAACCAUGCACCGAAGCUGCGGCAGCGACACUGUGUGUUGUUGGGUAGGGGAGCGUUCUGUAAGCCUGCGAAGGUGUGCUGUGAGGCAUGCUGGAGGUAUCAGAAGUGCGAAUGCUGACAUAAGUAACGAUAAAGCGGGUGAAAAGCCCGCUCGCCGGAAGACCAAGGGUUCCUGUCCAACGUUAAUCGGGGCAGGGUGAGUCGACCCCUAAGGCGAGGCCGAAAGGCGUAGUCGAUGGGAAACAGGUUAAUAUUCCUGUACUUGGUGUUACUGCGAAGGGGGGACGGAGAAGGCUAUGUUGGCCGGGCGACGGUUGUCCCGGUUUAAGCGUGUAGGCUGGUUUUCCAGGCAAAUCCGGAAAAUCAAGGCUGAGGCGUGAUGACGAGGCACUACGGUGCUGAAGCAACAAAUGCCCUGCUUCCAGGAAAAGCCUCUAAGCAUCAGGUAACAUCAAAUCGUACCCCAAACCGACACAGGUGGUCAGGUAGAGAAUACCAAGGCGCUUGAGAGAACUCGGGUGAAGGAACUAGGCAAAAUGGUGCCGUAACUUCGGGAGAAGGCACGCUGAUAUGUAGGUGAAGUCCCUCGCGGAUGGAGCUGAAAUCAGUCGAAGAUACCAGCUGGCUGCAACUGUUUAUUAAAAACACAGCACUGUGCAAACACGAAAGUGGACGUAUACGGUGUGACGCCUGCCCGGUGCCGGAAGGUUAAUUGAUGGGGUCAGCGCAAGCGAAGCUCUUGAUCGAAGCCCCGGUAAACGGCGGCCGUAACUAUAACGGUCCUAAGGUAGCGAAAUUCCUUGUCGGGUAAGUUCCGACCUGCACGAAUGGCGUAAUGAUGGCCAGGCUGUCUCCACCCGAGACUCAGUGAAAUUGAACUCGCUGUGAAGAUGCAGUGUACCCGCGGCAAGACGGAAAGACCCCGUGAACCUUUACUAUAGCUUGACACUGAACAUUGAGCCUUGAUGUGUAGGAUAGGUGGGAGGCUUAGAAGUGUGGACGCCAGUCUGCAUGGAGCCGACCUUGAAAUACCACCCUUUAAUGUUUGAUGUUCUAACGUUGACCCGUAAUCCGGGUUGCGGACAGUGUCUGGUGGGUAGUUUGACUGGGGCGGUCUCCUCCUAAAGAGUAACGGAGGAGCACGAAGGUUGGCUAAUCCUGGUCGGACAUCAGGAGGUUAGUGCAAUGGCAUAAGCCAGCUUGACUGCGAGCGUGACGGCGCGAGCAGGUGCGAAAGCAGGUCAUAGUGAUCCGGUGGUUCUGAAUGGAAGGGCCAUCGCUCAACGGAUAAAAGGUACUCCGGGGAUAACAGGCUGAUACCGCCCAAGAGUUCAUAUCGACGGCGGUGUUUGGCACCUCGAUGUCGGCUCAUCACAUCCUGGGGCUGAAGUAGGUCCCAAGGGUAUGGCUGUUCGCCAUUUAAAGUGGUACGCGAGCUGGGUUUAGAACGUCGUGAGACAGUUCGGUCCCUAUCUGCCGUGGGCGCUGGAGAACUGAGGGGGGCUGCUCCUAGUACGAGAGGACCGGAGUGGACGCAUCACUGGUGUUCGGGUUGUCAUGCCAAUGGCACUGCCCGGUAGCUAAAUGCGGAAGAGAUAAGUGCUGAAAGCAUCUAAGCACGAAACUUGCCCCGAGAUGAGUUCUCCCUGACUCCUUGAGAGUCCUGAAGGAACGUUGAAGACGACGACGUUGAUAGGCCGGGUGUGUAAGCGCAGCGAUGCGUUGAGCUAACCGGUACUAAUGAACCGUGAGGCUUAACCUUACAACGCCGAAG